CAAUAGCAUAUAUUAACGUUGUUGCAGUUGAAAAGCUCGUAGUUGAACUUUUGGUAGGAGCGACCUGGCCUUGGGCGCAUGCCCCUGUUUGCCGUGUGUCGUGUCUGGCCAUCCUUUUCCGCUUCGGCGGGAAUCUUUUACUGUGAGUAAACUGGAGUGCUCAAAACAAGACGUUUGUUUGGUACAUUAAAGCAUGGAAUAAUAAGAUAGGACCUGGUUACUAUUUUGUUGGUUUGCAUAGCUAGGUAAUGAUUAACAGGGACAGUUGGGGGUAUUCGUAUUUAAUUGUCAGAGGUGAAAUUCUUGGAUUUAUGAAAGACGAACGACUGCGAAAGCAUUUACCAAGGAUGUUUUCAUUAA
RNAcentral lists this ribosomal RNA (360 nucleotides) under uncultured eukaryote. RNAcentral describes it as "partial 18S ribosomal RNA". It matches the Rfam family "Eukaryotic small subunit ribosomal RNA", at positions 592 to 976 of the family's 1831-position model. The record is from RNAcentral.